Molecule: ribosomal RNA, 465 nt
Filed under: uncultured bacterium
Lineage: Bacteria
Description: partial 16S ribosomal RNA
Rfam family: Bacterial small subunit ribosomal RNA
Source: RNAcentral
GAUGAACGCUGGCGGCGUGCUUAACACAUGCAAGUCGAACGGAAAGGCUCCUGCUUGCAGGGGUACUCGAGUUGCGAACGGGUGAGUAACACGUGGGUGAUCUGCCCUGCACUUCGGGAUAAGCCUGGGAAACUGGGUCUAAUACCGGAUAGGACGAUGGUUUGGAUGCCAUUGUGGAAAGUUUUUCGGUGUGGGAUGAGCUCGGGGCCUAUCAGCUUGUUGGUGGGGUAAUGGCCUACCAAGGCGUGGACGGGUAGCCGGCCUGAGAGGGUGUACGGCCACAUUGGGACUGAGAUACGGCCCAGACUCCUACGGGAGGCAGCAGUGGGGAAUAUUGCACUAUGGGCGCAAGCCUGAUGCAGCGACGCCGCGUGGGGGAUGACGGCCUUCGGGUUGUAAACUACUUUCGCUAGGGACGAAGCGCAAGUGACGGUACCUGGAGAAGAAGCACCGGCUAACUACGUG